This 109-nucleotide non-coding RNA is filed under the name human gut metagenome. Its description in RNAcentral is "FMN riboswitch (RFN element)". It matches the Rfam family "FMN riboswitch aptamer (RFN element)". From Rfam's summary of the family: The RFN element is a highly conserved domain that is found frequently in the 5'-untranslated regions of prokaryotic mRNAs that encode for flavin mononucleotide (FMN) biosynthesis and transport proteins. This element is a metabolite-dependent riboswitch that directly binds FMN in the absence of proteins. The record is from RNAcentral.
AUCUUCAAGGCAGGGUGCAAUUCCCGACCGGUGGUUAAAGUCCACAAGCAAUUAUGCAUGAUUUGGUGUAAUUCCAAAACCGAUAGUAAAGUCUAGAUGAAAGAAGACA